ACUUACACCCCCCCAACCACGCCAGGGCACUACGAGCCCAAACUUAAAACCCAAAGGACUUGACGGUGCCCCAUAUCCACCUAGAGGAGCCUGUCCUAUAAUCGAUGAUCCCCGUUUUACCUCACCACUUCUAGCCUACCAGCCUGUAUACCUCCGUCGUCAGCUCACCGCAUGAGCGCACUAUAGUGAGCACAAUGGCACCCGCCAAAACGUCAGGUCAAGGUGCAGCAAAUGAAGCGGCCAGAGAUGGGCUACAUUUUCUCUUGCAGAAAAUCACGGAAGACUACUAUGAAACCUAGUCAGAAGGCGGAUUUAGCAGUAAAGCAGAAACCAGAAAGUUCUCUUUAAUAAGGCACAGGGGC
Molecule: ribosomal RNA, 362 nt
Filed under: Crinia tinnula (wallum froglet)
Lineage: Eukaryota; Metazoa; Chordata; Amphibia; Anura; Myobatrachidae
Description: partial 12S ribosomal RNA
Rfam family: Bacterial small subunit ribosomal RNA
Source: RNAcentral